RNAcentral lists this ribosomal RNA (253 nucleotides) under uncultured bacterium. RNAcentral describes it as "partial 16S ribosomal RNA". It matches the Rfam family "Bacterial small subunit ribosomal RNA", at positions 524 to 776 of the family's 1533-position model. The record is from RNAcentral.
GACGAACCGUGCGAACGUUGUUCGGAAUCACUGGGCGUAAAGGGCGCGUAGGCGGCUUGGCAAGUGGAAGGUGAAAUCCCUCGGCUUAACCGAGGAACUGCCCUCCAAACUGCUUUGCUUGAGGCCGGGAGAGGUGAGUGGAAUUCCCAGUGUAGCGGUGAAAUGCGUAGAUAUUGGGAGGAACACCAGUGGCGAAGGCGGCUCACUGGACCGGUUCUGACGCUGAUGCGCGAAAGCGUGGGGAGCAAACGGG